AAUGCUCAUCUAGUAAUGAAAGCUGCCUGUGUUGCUGCUGUGAGUGCAGGCCUUUGUGGGUGUGAGAUCACAGUUUGUGUGUGUGUGUGUGUGUGGGGGGGGUACUCUGAGAAUUAUCUAGAAAAACAAUACAAGUGAUUUCAGUUGUGUGCAUUUUCAUGAUUCAAGCAAAAAGAUUGAUGUCUCCGAAAGAAAAUGAAGGCUGGAGAUUUCGAAGUCUCUGGAACUUCAGUUCCAUCAUCCUUUCUGUGUCUCCCAAUGAAGACAGAAGAGACAGAAUCCUGAAGAUAAACCUCAACAACCACCUGGUUUGAAGGAAAACAAUGUUUUUUGGACAACAUCUAAAAAAGAUAACACUACGUUUUGGGUGAAAAAGCCAUAGUAAGAUUGUUGAAAACCAGUAAUCUAAAAAGUGUCUUCGGGUGUAUUCAGACUGGAAAAAUCCUUUGUUCUGGAUCGAGUCCCAAACGUUAUGUUUGGUCUGUAUUCAGACAGGCACCAAGUGGCCCAUUCUGUUACGGACCAAAGCUUGUAAACAAAACCACGUGACGUCAUCAUGACUUCUUCAGUCAUUGGCCAGGAACUACAAAAGUAGGUCAAAACAACAAGAGAAAGACAGACGAUCCUUAUCAAGACAGUUAAUAAAACUUUAUAUUUCCAUUACCAGUUUAGAACGUCGGGAAGAACACUAUUGACUUGUCACUGUCAUGGUGCCUCUGUCAGACUCCUCCCCCUCCAGCUUGGCUCCACUCUGCUCCUGAUUAUUCUCCAGCUGCCGUCACUCAACUCAUCAACCUCUGCUGCUUAAAAGGAGACCCAAUGCCAAUAAUCAGCGCCAGAUCGUUGCCCAUUUUGGAAACCGGUCCAAGAGUGACGUCAGCACAGUCUCCAGCCUGCUGUCGGGAAGGAUCAGUGAACUGCCGCGUCCGCACCUCCAGCCGUGCCACAGACUAUCCAUCUGGAUCACCUCUCGCCAACCCUCUUUGCCAGCCUCAAAGAAAAUAAUAAAUCCUUAUUACCUGCCA
Molecule: non-coding RNA, 1025 nt
Organism: Oryzias latipes (Japanese medaka)
Lineage: Eukaryota; Metazoa; Chordata; Actinopteri; Beloniformes; Adrianichthyidae
Source: RefSeq, a predicted model, not a curated record